GGCGAGGUAGCUCAGUUGGUCAGAGCAUGCGGCUCAUAUCCGCAGAGUCGGAAGUUCAAGUCUUCUCCUCGCUACCA
Molecule: transfer RNA, 77 nt
Filed under: Pseudodesulfovibrio sp. zrk46
Lineage: Bacteria; Pseudomonadati; Thermodesulfobacteriota; Desulfovibrionia; Desulfovibrionales; Desulfovibrionaceae
Description: tRNA-Met
Rfam family: tRNA
About the family: Transfer RNA (tRNA) molecules are approximately 80 nucleotides in length. Their secondary structure includes four short double-helical elements and three loops (D, anti-codon, and T loops).
Source: RNAcentral